This 539-nucleotide ribosomal RNA is filed under the name Staphylococcus aureus. RNAcentral describes it as "partial 23S ribosomal RNA". It matches the Rfam family "Bacterial large subunit ribosomal RNA", at positions 1503 to 2039 of the family's 2925-position model. Lineage: Bacteria; Bacillati; Bacillota; Bacilli; Caryophanales; Staphylococcaceae. The record is from RNAcentral.
AUUGCACGUCUAAGCAGUAAGGCUGAGUAUUAGGCAAAUCCGGUACUCGUUAAGGCUGAGCUGUGAUGGGGAGAAGACAUUGUGUCUUCGAGUCGUUGAUUUCACACUGCCGAGAAAAGCCUCUAGAUAGAAAAUAGGUGCCCGUACCGCAAACCGACACAGGUAGUCAAGAUGAGAAUUCUAAGGUGAGCGAGCGAACUCUCGUUAAGGAACUCGGCAAAAUGACCCCGUAACUUCGGGAGAAGGGGUGCUCUUUAGGGUUAACGCCCAGAAGAGCCGCAGUGAAUAGGCCCAAGCGACUGUUUAUCAAAAACACAGGUCUCUGCUAAACCGUAAGGUGAUGUAUAGGGGCUGACGCCUGCCCGGUGCUGGAAGGUUAAGAGGAGUGGUUAGCUUCUGCGAAGCUACGAAUCGAAGCCCCAGUAAACGGCGGCCGUAACUAUAACGGUCCUAAGGUAGCGAAAUUCCUUGUCGGGUAAGUUCCGACCCGCACGAAAGGCGUAACGAUUUGGGCACUGUCUCAACGAGAGACUCGGUGA